CAAUACGCUACUUGUAAAGCACUCCCGUCUGUUAAAACGUAGUGAUAGUGAUUAUGUUCUCUACUUUGACUUGGAAUUAAUAAAAUAAAUAGAAAAUUAAAUGCAAAUCUAAAAUAUUGUUUAAAAAAAAAAAAAUUAGUACACCUUAAAAUGUAAUCAUAGUAGAGUAUCAGUGCCGAGUGAAUCUUUUUUCUCAAUAUUUAAUUAUUUAUUCUAGUUAUUAAGAAACAAAAAGUUAAGUGUUAAAGUUGUAUAUCAUGUAAAUGUGAGACAAUCAAAGAUACCGCGCUACAAUGAUGAGUGACAGUGAUCUCCGGGCGCAAGAAAUCAAUGCAACAAACCUAAAAGAGGUCGAAGCACGCGCCCUGCACGACCGGCUCGUGGCGUACGCGCACUUCGUGGCCGGAGAUCCGGAGAGCCGGUCGGGCGUGUGCUGCGAGCACUCGUACGCACGCGUGCGCGAGACGGGGGGUGCGUGUG
This is a long non-coding RNA of Papilio polytes (common Mormon), 480 nucleotides long. RefSeq lists it as uncharacterized. The record is from RefSeq and is a predicted model, not a curated record. NCBI's taxonomy places the organism in Eukaryota, Metazoa, Arthropoda, Insecta, Lepidoptera, Papilionidae. The transcript is spliced from 3 exons.